AAGCCGGAAUCGCUAGUAAUCGUGGAUCAGCAUGCCACGGUGAAUACGUUCCCGGGCCUUGUACACACCGCCCGUCACACCACGAGAGUUUGUAACACCCGAAGUCGGUAGGGUAACCUUUAUGGAGCCAGCCGCCGAAGGUGGGACAGAUAAUUGGGGUGAAGUCGUAACAAGGUAGCCGUAUCGGAAGGUGCGGCUGGAUCACCUCCUUUCUAAGG
This 218-nucleotide ribosomal RNA is filed under the name Listeria monocytogenes. RNAcentral's name for it is "partial 16S ribosomal RNA". It matches the Rfam family "Bacterial small subunit ribosomal RNA", at positions 1323 to 1533 of the family's 1533-position model. Lineage: Bacteria; Bacillati; Bacillota; Bacilli; Caryophanales; Listeriaceae. The record is from RNAcentral.